UUGUUCACUUCAGCAGCACACAUACUAAAAUUAGAAUGAUACAGAGAAGAUUAGUAUGGCCCCAGCACAAGGAUGACCCACAAAUUCGUGAAGUGUUCCAUAUUUUA
Molecule: small nuclear RNA, 107 nt
Filed under: Mus spicilegus (steppe mouse)
Lineage: Eukaryota; Metazoa; Chordata; Mammalia; Rodentia; Muridae
Source: RNAcentral